GACAGCAGUCGCCGCGGGAAUACGUAGGUCCUGAGCGUUGUCCGGAUUUAUUGGGCGUAAAGCGAGCGCAGGCGGUUAGAUAAGUCUGAAGUUAAAGGCUGUGGCUUAACCAUGGUACGCUUUGGAAACUGUUUAACCUGAGUGCAAGAGGGGAGAGUGGAAUUCCAUGUGUAGCGGUGAAAUGCGUAGAUAUAUGGAGGAACACCGGUGGCGAAAGCGGCUCUCUGGCUUGUAACUGACGCUGAGGCUCGAAAGCGAGGGGAGCAAACAGGAUUAGAUACCCGCGUAGUCCCUGUCUCUUAUACC
This 306-nucleotide ribosomal RNA is filed under the name uncultured bacterium. Its description in RNAcentral is "partial 16S ribosomal RNA". It matches the Rfam family "Bacterial small subunit ribosomal RNA", at positions 507 to 808 of the family's 1533-position model. The record is from RNAcentral.